GAUGAACGCUGGCGGCGUGCUUAACACAUGCAAGUCGAACGGGAAUUCUUUUAUUGAAACUUCGGUCGGUUUACUUCAAUUCUAGUGGCGGACGGGUGAGUAACGCGUGGGUAACCUGCCUUAUCCAGGGGGAUAACAGUCAGAAAUGGCUGCUAAUACCGCAUAAGCGCACAGAGCUGCAUGGCACAGUGUGAAAAACUCCGGUGGUAUAAGAUGGACCCGCGUUGGAUUAGCUGGUUGGUGGGGUAACGGCCCACCACGGCGACGAUCCAUAGCCGGCAUGAGAGGGUGAACGGCCACAUUGGGACUGAGACACGGCCCAGACUCCUACGGGAGGCAGCAGUGGGGAAUAUUGCACAAUGGGGGAAACCCUGAUGCAGCGACGCCGCGUGAAGGAAGAAGUAUCUCGGUAUGUAAACUUCUAUCAGCAGGGAAGAUAGUGACGGUACCUGACUAAGAAGCCCCGGCUAACUACGUG
RNAcentral lists this ribosomal RNA (478 nucleotides) under uncultured bacterium. RNAcentral describes it as "partial 16S ribosomal RNA". It matches the Rfam family "Bacterial small subunit ribosomal RNA", at positions 28 to 507 of the family's 1533-position model. The record is from RNAcentral.